GGGGCUGAUUCUGGAUUCGACGGGAUUUGCGAAACCCAAGGUGCAUGCCGAGGGGCGGUUGGCCUCGUAAAAAGCCGCAAAAAAUAGUCGCAAACGACGAAAAAAAAAAAAAAAAAAAAAAAAAAGA
RNAcentral lists this transfer-messenger RNA (127 nucleotides) under Bacillus cereus. Its description in RNAcentral is "partial transfer-messenger RNA". It matches the Rfam family "transfer-messenger RNA", at positions 1 to 115 of the family's 374-position model. From Rfam's summary of the family: Bacterial tmRNA, also known as 10Sa RNA or SsrA, is named for its dual tRNA and mRNA-like properties. Its role is to liberate the mRNA from a stalled ribosome. Lineage: Bacteria; Bacillati; Bacillota; Bacilli; Caryophanales; Bacillaceae. The record is from RNAcentral.